UACGAAGGGGGCUAGCGUUGCUCGGAAUCACUGGGCAUAAAGGGUGCGUAGGCGGGUUCUUAAGUCAGAGGUGAAAUCCUGGAGCUCAACUCCAGAACUGCCUUUGAUACUGAGAGUCUUGAGUUCGGGAGGGGUGAGUGGAACUGCGAGUGUAGAGGUGAAAUUCGUAGAUAUUCGGAAGAACACCAGUGGCGAAGGCGGCUCACUGGCCCGGUACUGACGCUGAGAUACGAAAGCGUGGGGAGCAAACAGG
Molecule: ribosomal RNA, 253 nt
Filed under: uncultured bacterium
Lineage: Bacteria
Description: partial 16S ribosomal RNA
Rfam family: Bacterial small subunit ribosomal RNA
Source: RNAcentral